CGGCGGACGGGUGAGUAACGCGUGGGUAACCUGCCUCAUACAGGGGGAUAACGGUUAGAAAUGACUGCUAAUACCGCAUAAGCGCACAGUACCACAUGGUACGGUGUGAAAAACUCCGGUGGUAUGAGAUGGACCCGCGUCUGAUUAGCUAGUUGGUGGGGUAACGGCCCACCAAGGCGACGAUCAGUAGCCGACCUGAGAGGGUGACCGGCCACAUUGGGACUGAGACACGGCCCAG
This 238-nucleotide ribosomal RNA is filed under the name uncultured bacterium. RNAcentral describes it as "partial 16S ribosomal RNA". It matches the Rfam family "Bacterial small subunit ribosomal RNA", at positions 96 to 334 of the family's 1533-position model. The record is from RNAcentral.